This 253-nucleotide ribosomal RNA is filed under the name uncultured bacterium. Its description in RNAcentral is "partial 16S ribosomal RNA". It matches the Rfam family "Bacterial small subunit ribosomal RNA", at positions 524 to 776 of the family's 1533-position model. The record is from RNAcentral.
UACGGGGGGGGCAAGCGUUGUUCGGAAUUACUGGGCGUAAAGGGCUCGUAGGCGGCCAACUAAGUCGGAUGUGAAAUCCCCCGGCUCAACUGGGGAACUGCGCGGGAAACUGCGGGGCUUGAGUUCGGGAGAGGGAAGCGGAAUUCCGGGUGUAGCGGUGAAAUGCGUAGAUAUCCGGAGGAACACCGGUGGCGAAGGCGGCUUCCUGGACCGACACUGACGCUGAGGCGCGAAAGCUAGGGGAGCAAACGGG